This 72-nucleotide transfer RNA is filed under the name Desmophyllum pertusum. RNAcentral's name for it is "Lophelia pertusa tRNA". It matches the Rfam family "tRNA". Rfam says of the family: Transfer RNA (tRNA) molecules are approximately 80 nucleotides in length. Their secondary structure includes four short double-helical elements and three loops (D, anti-codon, and T loops). The record is from Rfam by way of RNAcentral. Lineage: Eukaryota; Metazoa; Cnidaria; Anthozoa; Scleractinia; Caryophylliidae.
UCUCCUGUAGCUCAGUGGCAGAGCGUCCGACCGGUGUUCGUAAGGUCAUAGGAUCAACUCCUGUUGGGAGAA